This 395-nucleotide ribosomal RNA is filed under the name uncultured bacterium. Its description in RNAcentral is "partial 16S ribosomal RNA". It matches the Rfam family "Bacterial small subunit ribosomal RNA", at positions 523 to 918 of the family's 1533-position model. The record is from RNAcentral.
AUACGUAGGGUGCAAGCGUUAAUCGGAAUUACUGGGCGUAAAGCGUGCGCAGGCGGUUUUGGAAGAACGAGGUGAAAUACCCGGGCUCAAACUGGGAACUGCCUUUGGGACUGGAAGGCUAGAGUACGGCAGAGGGGGAUGGAAUUCCGCGGUGAGUAGUGGAAUGCGUAGAUAUGCGGAGGAACACCGAUGGCGAAGGCAAUCCCCUGGGCCUGUACUGGCGCUCAUGCACGAAAGCGUGGGGAGCAAACCGGAUUAAAUACCCCGGUAGUCCCCGCCCGAAACGAUGUCAACUGGGUGUUGGGUCUUCAUUGACUCAAUAACCAAGCUAACGCCUGAAGUUUGCCGCCUGGGGAGUACGGCCGCAAGGUUGAAACUCAAAGGAAUCGACGGGG